ACGCUGGGUUGCUCAGGGGAUACUUCAACUCUGUCACCAGAUAACUAACCUCCCGGUCCGUAGGCCAGAGGUUCGAACCCCGGGCACCAUCUAUCGUUUUU
Molecule: vault RNA, 101 nt
Gene: Vault
Rfam family: Vault RNA
About the family: This family of RNAs are found as part of the enigmatic vault ribonucleoprotein complex. The complex consists of a major vault protein (MVP), two minor vault proteins (VPARP and TEP1), and several small untranslated RNA molecules. It has been suggested that the vault complex is involved in drug resistance.
Source: Ensembl